CGUAGGGUGCGAGCGUUAAUCGGAAUUACUGGGCGUAAAGCGUGCGCAGGCGGUUUAGUAAGACAGGCGUGAAAUCCCCGGGCUCAACCUGGGAACUGCGCUUGUGACUGCUAAGCUAGAGUACGGCAGAGGGGGGUGGAAUUCCACGUGUAGCAGUGAAAUGCGUAGAGAUGUGGAGGAACACCAAUGGCGAAGGCAGCCCCCUGGGUCGGUACUGACGCUCAUGCACGAAAGCGUGGGUAGCAAACAGGAUUAGAUACCCUGGUAGUCCACGCCCUAAACGAUGUCAACUAGGUGUUGGGAGGGUAAAACCUUUUAGUACCGGAGCUAACGCGUGAAGUUGACCGCCUGGGGAGUACGGCCGCAAGGUUA
Molecule: ribosomal RNA, 372 nt
Filed under: uncultured organism
Description: bacterial SSU rRNA
Rfam family: Bacterial small subunit ribosomal RNA
Source: RNAcentral